GCCUACGGGGGGCAGCAGUAGGGAAUCUUCCACAAUGGGCGAAAGCCUGAUGGAGCAACGCCGCGUGGGUGAAGAAGGUCUUCGGAUCGUAAAACCCUGUUGUUAGAGAAGAAAGUGCGUGAGAGUAACUGUUCACGUUUCGACGGUAUCUAACCAGAAAGCCACGGCUAACUACGUGCCAGCAGCCGCGGUAAUACGUAGGUGGCAAGCGUUAUCCGGAUUUAUUGGGCGUAAAGGGAACGCAGGCGGUCUUUUAAGUCUGAUGUGAAAGCCUUCGGCUUAACCGGAGUAGUGCAUUUGAAACU
This 305-nucleotide ribosomal RNA is filed under the name uncultured bacterium. RNAcentral describes it as "bacterial SSU rRNA". It matches the Rfam family "Bacterial small subunit ribosomal RNA", at positions 337 to 634 of the family's 1533-position model. The record is from RNAcentral.